CCGGCACGGGUGGAGUAACACGUAUGCAAUCCACCUGUAACAGGGGGAGUAACCCGGAAGAAAUCCGGACUAAUACCCCAUAAUAUGGGCGCUCCGCAUGGAGAGCCCAUUAAAGAGAGCAAUUUUGGUUACAGACGAGCAUGCGCUCCAUUAGCCAGUUGGCGGGGUAACGGCCCACCAAAGCGACGAUGGAUAGGGGUUCUGAGAGGAAAGUCCCCCACAUUGGAACUGAGACACGGUCCAA
This 244-nucleotide ribosomal RNA is filed under the name uncultured bacterium. RNAcentral describes it as "partial 16S ribosomal RNA". It matches the Rfam family "Bacterial small subunit ribosomal RNA", at positions 100 to 334 of the family's 1533-position model. The record is from RNAcentral.